UACGUAGGGUGCAAGCGUUGUCCGGAAUUACUGGGCGUAAAGAGCUCGUAGGUGGUUUGUCGCGUUGUCCGUGAAAACUCACAACUCAAUUGUGGGCGUGCGGGCGAUACGGGCAGACUGGAGUACUGCAGGGGAGACUGGAAUUCCUGGUGCAGCGGUGGAAUGCGCAGAUAUCAGGAGGAACACCGGUGGCGAAGGCGGGUCUCUGGGCAGUAACUGACGCUGAGGAGCGAAAGCGUGGGGAGCGAACAGG
Molecule: ribosomal RNA, 253 nt
Filed under: uncultured bacterium
Lineage: Bacteria
Description: partial 16S ribosomal RNA
Rfam family: Bacterial small subunit ribosomal RNA
Source: RNAcentral